ACAUAAUAGUGCAGGUACUCGAACGAACUGCACAUCAUACAGUAGAGUAAAUUAUAAUUGUAUCCUAUGAGGAAACUCAAAUAUUUUCAGAUGUAAGAAGCUUGUUCGAAGACAAUACAUACUAAUACUGGACCACUUUCCCAGUUUCCCUGCACCAUAGCAUUUAAACUUGCCGCCAAUUCUGCUGGUAAAUGUCUCUUCCGGCCAUGAUCUUUUCUCACGUGCUCUACAUGUUUCACUUUGGAUCUCUGUUAUUAAGAAGUGCUAGUUAUCUUCUUUUUUAGGAGGUGAUAAUAUUUUAACUGCAUGCAGAUAAUUCCUGCCUAUGACAUUGAUUUAAGGUUAUGCUCGUUGAGCACAUGGUCAUGUCCAAAGCUUAUAUAUUUCAGGUUACGCUCAGGCAAAUUGUAGUUACUGCAUGACUUGAAUACCAUAGUUAUGCUGAACAUUGAAGUUAUCUUGUUGUUUCUUGCACGUAUAUUUAAAGCAGAAUGAAUAAAAUAAGUUUAUGAGGCCUAUACAUCAACUCUCUGCUCCACUGGUUUUUAAACCCUCCAUAACCCAAAUAUGUACAUGUUCUAUCCAUGCAUUCCUUCUGUUUUGCUUUUCUUGAUGUUAUUUGUCAGAUAUAAAAUGCUCAUGUCUAGCAUAUAUUGGGAAUUCAUUUUGAAAAAGUCAUGCAAACCUUUGCAGUAUUAACAGUUCUAAGACACUAAAAUGUUUACAUAUUGAUUGUCAACUGAGAUUUUGUAGGUUGGUCUUUUGAAGACUUUAUUAACUGUCCGGUUGAAGAAUAACAGAUCCACCAUCGAAAGAGGAUGAAAAAAGAAAGGGAGUCACAUAUAUGUCAGGAUCAAUGGGGAAACAGCACGGAUUGUCACAACAAGGUUGAGCAUAUAUUUUAAUGUUCACGCUGGUGAUGAUGCUAUAUAGAUUUUAUAUGUCAUACUUCCGGUUCUUACUUGGAUUUCAUCUGAGAAUUUUAGCAGACUUUUUGCCUUAUACAAGACAGGAAGGUGCUAUCUGAACUCUAGAUGAGCUUGUGCUAUUGCAGGUGCAUCAGCACACAUUUCAGUCCAAGGUGCCGAAUGGAGCGGUUUCUGCUGUUCCCCGGACAGGGCUUGUGAGAAAGGAUUCUCCAGCAAGAACUACUGUUCUCCACAGAUUUUGGCAGGAGACUUUGGUCUCUUGAGUUGAGAACAAAGCUGCCUCCUGCAUUUCUCCCGGAUUGUUGAGUAUAAUUUUGACCAUGCAAUUCUCAUUGUCGAACUCUUGUUGAGAGCUCUAUCCUUUGUUCCGGUGCAUGGAUGUCAUAUGAAAAAGCUAAUGUAACCAAGUAGCCGUUUUGGCUUUUCCACCAUCUGAUUCAUUGCAUUUCCAUUUGAUGUGGCUCUGGCGAUUGGUGAUUACGUGAAAUGGCAGCUCUGGUGACUGGAGAUCACAAAACUCCAUUAUCCAGGGUGAGUCCUGGAAAUAGACUCAUAUUUAGCGGAAGGGAAGAAAAAUCGCAGCGUUUGGAAGAGAAGCAUCUCAGUUAAUCUGGAAGUCCCCAGAUCGUGCAAUCAAGAAAAAAAGAAAAAAAGAAGGGUACUGCAUUCCUCUAGGUGAUUUGCGCUCUGCCAGAUUGCACCAAUGAAUCAAAUUUCCCGCACCUGUAAAACUUUCUCCCCAUCGUGCACCUCCUCAAAAAGCCCAAUAUGUCAG
This 1704-nucleotide long non-coding RNA is filed under the name Elaeis guineensis (African oil palm). RNAcentral's name for it is "long non-coding RNA (EGUI_LNC005393)". Lineage: Eukaryota; Viridiplantae; Streptophyta; Magnoliopsida; Arecales; Arecaceae. The record is from RNAcentral.